AUUGAACGCUGGCGGAAUGCUUUACACAUGCAAGUCGAACGGCAGCACGGGGGCAGCCCUGGUGGCGAGUGGCGGACGGGUGAGUAAUACAUCGGAACGUGCCCGGUCGCGGGGGAUAACGUAGCGAAAGAUACGCUAAUACCGCAUACGAGCUGAGGACGAAAGCGGGGGAGCUUCGGGCCUCGCGCGCUCGGAGGAGCCGAUGUCAGAUUGGGUAGUUGGUGGGGUAAAGGCCUACCAAGCCGACGAUCUGUAGCUGGUCUGAGAGGACGACCAGCCACACUGGAACUGAGACACGGCCCAGACUCCUACGGGAGGCAGCAGUGGGGAAUUUUGGACAAUGGGCGCAAGCCUGAUCCAGCCAUUCCGCGUGCAGGACGAAGGCCUUCGGGUUGUAAACUGCUUUUGUACGGAACGAAAAGGAUCUGGCUAAUACCUGGGGCUCAUGACGGUACCGUAAGAAUAAGCACCGGCUAACUACGUG
Molecule: ribosomal RNA, 484 nt
Filed under: uncultured bacterium
Lineage: Bacteria
Description: partial 16S ribosomal RNA
Rfam family: Bacterial small subunit ribosomal RNA
Source: RNAcentral